Molecule: long non-coding RNA, 2111 nt
Organism: Anguilla rostrata (American eel)
Lineage: Eukaryota; Metazoa; Chordata; Actinopteri; Anguilliformes; Anguillidae
Exons: 2
Source: RefSeq, a predicted model, not a curated record
UGUCCAGCACUAGACAGGCACGGACCUGAGGCCAGAACACUCCGGGAUUAAUCCUUUGCUCUAAUGCCAUACUGCUCUUCUGGCUGAUAUCUGCUCACCAUCUGCAUUACUAGUGCACUGCAGCAGUUUAUAAAAGACCAUCUCAAUAUGUACACGUGCUUAAUGAGUUAAAUGAGGGGUAGAGGUCAUGACACGCUGAGCCACGUGGUCUCUCUCAGCCCAUGGUUCACGCAGUUAUUUCCCACAUUUCAUUACGCACUCAGAGCGACCCGCAUCUUUAAAUUCAGCGUUUCUUUCUCAGGUUUCAGCGAGCCGGUGCAUCGCCAGCCUAGGCUAUUUUUGAGAACAUUCUUCCUCUGUUGCAGAGGCUGCACGCAGGGGGAAUGUUAAAUAAAGAAAUCCGCAUCUUUCGCGAUUAAGUCUCCCCUUGCGUUUUCUCGCGGUUUGUUUUCGAAGCCAGGUCGUACUUUUAAAGGCGGUUUCGCUCACUUGGACAGUGGGCAGAAGCGGCGAGCAAAUGCGGAUACUACAAGGCAUAACACGGACUUCUGGCACCCUGGUGAGAGCACGCUGAGGGAGGCCUCCAGCCUGUCUGAACGCAGCGGCCCGUGUGUGAGCUGGAGCCGCAAGGGGAAAGUCUGCUGAUCAGGCACAUUUCACAGCGCAGGGAGAGCACAGAUUCAGCUGCUUCAGCGGGCGGAGUCAGCGCAGUGAGCUGGGCCAUUAUCUACACCUGGUUCCUGCAAACCAAGUGAACACAAUCAGCUGGGCCAUUAUCUACACCUGGUUCCUGCAAACCAAGUGAACACAAUCAGCUGGGCCAUUAUCUACACCUGGUUCCUGCAAACCAAGUGAACACAAUCAGCUGGGCCAUUAUCUACACCUGGUUCCUGCAAACCAAGUGAACACAAUCAGCUGGGCCAUUAUCUACACCUGGUUCCUGCAAAGCAAGUGAACACAAUCAGCUGAUACAAAUGCUGCUCAGUGCAGUUUUCUCAAUGUUUUGGGUUUGAGGGACACAUAUUUGCCAAAUGCCUGUAAUAUUUAAUGUUAUUGACGGGCUUUCAGAUUCUGUGCUGGCUUGAAAAAUAUGCUGGAUUUAUCCAGAGAGUUUAGAACUCUGUGCACAUGCCUUUAUUUCGAGGAAUGUGUGAUUCAGGGUGGAUGAUGAGGUUCAAAUGUUUUACCCACAGAAAUAGUGGCUCAUUCAGUUUUAUUUGUACUAGAGUAACAUAGCCUUGUUAAAUAUGUGGUUAAAUAAACCACUUGAUAUUCAUAAUAUAUGUAUUAUUAUUCAGAAAACAUACAUCUUAUAUACAGUCUUUCUUUCCAAACUGUAAUAUAUUGUCUGAUAAUAAAACAAUUAGUUAUAUUUCUGUAACAAUUCUCACUCAUUUUAAAGGACCCUAAAGUAGUUUACAGGAAGAAGAAGCAUGUCAGCCUGACUACCUUACCUUACUCUUAUGGGCGGCCAUCUUAAUCACCUCAGCUUUCGCUUAUGGGCGGCCAUCUUGACCUCGUAUAGAUUUCCUAAGACACACUGCAUCUUUCCCAGCCUGAAGGCCCACUGUAGCCAUCAGACCUGAGUCAUUUAAAUUUCAGUAUAAAUGGCAAAAUAUACAUUACGUGGAAAUCUGAAAUUGCCUCAGAAACAUGAAAAAUGUUUAGUUUAGAACUUAUAGAGCGUAUAAAUGAGUGUGAGCACAUGGUGUCAGAAUGAGCUCCAUAAAGGGCUUGCUGUUGCAGGACCCCUGGCAUGCUCGUCCCCGCUCUCCCUCCCACUGGUGUUUUUUUUUUUUUAAUUUUUACACUGGCUAUAUAAUGACAUUUCCAGAGGCAGGGUUUCCGUUCUUGGGGCUGCCCAGGAGAGAUCUCACUGUGUAUUACAUUUCAGGAGUGGAAAUGAUAUCUCGAAAAGGGGAGAUUGGUACUGGGAGUUUGAAAGGGGGUUAUUGGUACUGGGACAGGCUGAAAAGGGGAGAUUGGUACUGGGACAGGUUGAAAAGGGGAGAUUGGUACUGGGACAGGUUGAAAAGGGGAGAUUGGUACUGGGACAGGUUGAAAAGGGGAGAUUGGUACUGGGACAGGCUGAAAAGGGGAGAUUGGUACUG